UAUAGGAUAGCCACUAGAAAUGGUGGGUAAUACUGUAUAAUCCCUGCGGGGGAAAGAUUUAUCGCUAUUAGAUGAGCCUAUGUCAGAUUAGCUAGUUGGUGGGGUAAUGGCCCACCAAGGCUGUGAUCUGUAGCUGGUCUGAGAGGAUGAUCAGCCACACUGGAACUGAGACACGGUCCAGACUCCUACGGGAGGCAGCAGUGGGGAAUAUUGGACAAUGGGCGCAAGCCUGAUCCAGCUAUGCCGCGUGAGUGAGGAAGGCCUUAGGGUUGUAAAACUCUUUCAGUAGGGAAGAUAAUGACGGUACCUACAGAAGAAGUCCCGGCAAACUCCGUGCCAGCAGCCGCGGUAAUACGGAGGGGGCAAGCGUUGUUCGGAACUAUUGGGCGUAAAGGGCAUGUAGGCGGUUUGGUAAGUUAAAGGUGAAAUACCAGGGCUUAACCCUGGGGCUGCUUUUAAUACUGCAGGACUAGAGUCCGGA
RNAcentral lists this ribosomal RNA (481 nucleotides) under Anaplasma ovis. RNAcentral's name for it is "bacterial SSU rRNA". It matches the Rfam family "Bacterial small subunit ribosomal RNA", at positions 137 to 652 of the family's 1533-position model. The record is from RNAcentral. Lineage: Bacteria; Pseudomonadati; Pseudomonadota; Alphaproteobacteria; Rickettsiales; Anaplasmataceae.